UACGUAGGUCCCGAGCGUUGUCCGGAUUUAUUGGGCGUAAAGCGAGCGCAGGUGGUUUAUUAAGUCUGGUGUAAAAGGCAGUGGCUCAACCAUUGUAUGCAUUGGGAACUGGUAGACUUGAGUGCAGGAGAGGAGAGUGGAAUUCCAUGUGUAGCGGUGAAAUGCGUAGAUAUAUGGAGGAACACCGGCGGCGAAAGCGGCUCUCUGGCCUGUAACUGACACUGAGGCUCGAAAGCGUGGGGAGUAAACAGG
This 252-nucleotide ribosomal RNA is filed under the name uncultured bacterium. RNAcentral's name for it is "partial 16S ribosomal RNA". It matches the Rfam family "Bacterial small subunit ribosomal RNA", at positions 524 to 776 of the family's 1533-position model. The record is from RNAcentral.